RNAcentral lists this ribosomal RNA (253 nucleotides) under uncultured bacterium. RNAcentral's name for it is "partial 16S ribosomal RNA". It matches the Rfam family "Bacterial small subunit ribosomal RNA", at positions 524 to 776 of the family's 1533-position model. The record is from RNAcentral.
UACGUAGGGUGCAAGCGUUAUCCGGAAUUAUUGGGCGUAAAGAGCUCGUAGGCGGUCUGUCGCGUCGGCUGUGAAAACACGGGGCUCAACUCCGUGCCUGCAGUCGAUACGGGCAGACUAGAGUUCGGUAGGGGAGACUGGAAUUCCUGGUGUAGCGGUGAAAUGCGUAGAUAUCGUAAGGAAGACCAGUGGCGAAGGCGGGUCUCUGGACAGUUCCUGACGCUGAGGCACGAAGGUCAGGGGAGCAAACGGG